RNAcentral lists this unclassified non-coding RNA (165 nucleotides) under uncultured Pleosporales. RNAcentral's name for it is "sequence contains ITS1". The record is from RNAcentral. Lineage: Eukaryota; Fungi; Ascomycota; Dothideomycetes; Pleosporales.
CCGUAACGCGGCGGUUCAGUAGCCCAAAAAACUGCUGGCCGCCACACGCGUUUAUCACCCUUGAAUUUGAGUACUUCUGUUUCCUCGGCGGGUUCGCCCGCCAACGAGGACCCCUUGAACUCUUUGUAGUAGUAGUAUUUGUCUGAAAACAAAGUUAAAUAAUUA